UGCUUCGAACAGUUAAACGUUUAGGAAGAACUAUUUGG
RNAcentral lists this ribosomal RNA (38 nucleotides) under Acinetobacter baumannii 737393. Its description in RNAcentral is "partial 23S ribosomal RNA". The record is from RNAcentral. Lineage: Bacteria; Pseudomonadati; Pseudomonadota; Gammaproteobacteria; Moraxellales; Moraxellaceae.